AAACGGGAGAAAAUCUAGCAGGGAAAAUCCCACGGGAAAGGGAGCUGCCCAAGUAGGCGCCCUUACAUGCGCGUGGCGUGGUGUCAACCCUGCGCGUGUCUUGUCACGCACAGGCAAGCCGUUCGCGUGUCACCUUGCGCAAAGACAAGUGCCACACACUGUGCCUCUGUUGUUUGCGCAGCAAGCUUGCAUGGAUUGGCCCCUAUGCGGCUAUGUCCUGCGUGCAGUAGGCCUGUGCGGACGACAUCCAGCGCUCCUAGGCCCUGCGUGAAUGGUCCGAGUAUAUAUCGGUAUUGACAUGCAUAAUGCAUCAAGUGUCUCGUUAUGUUUUUUAUCUUUGAGAGGUAUUUGUUCCCCUAACCUGGGGUAUUUGUUUCUCCCUCCCCCGUUUGGUCUGAAAAGACGUAAGAGGACCGCUAUCUGUGGAUGUCGGCAUACCCUCUGACAAGGAUGGUGACACAAAUAUCUAUUAGGGAUUAUCUUUGGCUAAGUACUGUCAUGACCAUAGAAUAU
RNAcentral lists this long non-coding RNA (513 nucleotides) under Carica papaya (papaya). Its description in RNAcentral is "long non-coding RNA (CPAP_LNC009295)". Lineage: Eukaryota; Viridiplantae; Streptophyta; Magnoliopsida; Brassicales; Caricaceae. The record is from RNAcentral.